AGAGUUUGAUCAUGGCUCAGAUUGAACGCUGGCGGCAGGCCUAACACAUGCAAGUCGAACGGUAACAGGAAGCAGCUUGCUGCUUUGCUGACGAGUGGCGGACGGGUGAGUAAUGUCUGGGAAACUGCCUGAUGGAGGGGGAUAACUACUGGAAACGGUAGCUAAUACCGCAUAACGUCGCAAGACCAAAGAGGGGGACCUUAGGGCCUCUUGCCAUCGGAUGUGCCCAGAUGGGAUUAGCUAGUAGGUGGGGUAACGGCUCACCUAGGCGACGAUCCCUAGCUGGUCUGAGAGGAUGACCAGCCACACUGGAACUGAGACACGGUCCAGACUCCUACGGGAGGCAGCAGUGGGGAAUAUUGCACAAUGGGCGCAAGCCUGAUGCAGCCAUGCCGCGUGUAUGAAGAAGGCCUUCGGGUUGUAAAGUACUUUCAGCGGGGAGGAAGGGAGUAAAGUUAAUACCUUUGCUCAUUGACGUUACCCGCAGAAGAAGCACCGGCUAACUCCGUGCCAGCAGCCGCGGUAAUACGGAGGGUGCAAGCGUUAAUCGGAAUUACUGGGCGUAAAGCGCACGCAGGCGGUUUGUUAAGUCAGAUGUGAAAUCCCCGGGCUCAACCUGGGAACUGCAUCUGAUACUGGCAGGCUUGAGUCUCGUAGAGGGGGGUAGAAUUCCAGGUGUAGCGGUGAAAUGCGUAGAGAUCUGGAGGAAUACCGGUGGCGAAGGCGGCCCCCUGGACGAAGACUGACGCUCAGGUGCGAAAGCGUGGGGAGCAAACAGGAUUAGAUACCCUGGUAGUCCACGCCGUAAACGAUGUCGACUUGGAGGUUGUGCCCUUGAGGCGUGGCUUCCGGAGCUAACGCGUUAAGUCGACCGCCUGGGGAGUACGGCCGCAAGGUUAAAACUCAAAUGAAUUGACGGGGGCCCGCACAAGCGGUGGAGCAUGUGGUUUAAUUCGAUGCAACGCGAAGAACCUUACCUGGUCUUGACAUCCACGGAAGUUUUCAGAGAUGAGAAUGUGCCUUCGGGAACCGUGAGACAGGUGCUGCAUGGCUGUCGUCAGCUCGUGUUGUGAAAUGUUGGGUUAAGUCCCGCAACGAGCGCAACCCUUAUCCUUUGUUGCCAGCGGUCCGGCCGGGAACUCAAAGGAGACUGCCAGUGAUAAACUGGAGGAAGGUGGGGAUGACGUCAAGUCAUCAUGGCCCUUACGACCAGGGCUACACACGUGCUACAAUGGCGCAUACAAAGAGAAGCGACCUCGCGAGAGCAAGCGGACCUCAUAAAGUGCGUCGUAGUCCGGAUUGGAGUCUGCAACUCGACUCCAUGAAGUCGGAAUCGCUAGUAAUCGUGGAUCAGAAUGCCACGGUGAAUACGUUCCCGGGCCUUGUACACACCGCCCGUCACACCAUGGGAGUGGGUUGCAAAAGAAGUAGGUAGCUUAACCUUCGGGAGGGCGCUUACCACUUUGUGAUUCAUGACUGGGGUGAAGUCGUAACAAGGUAACCGUAGGGGAACCUGCGGUUGGAUCACCU
Molecule: ribosomal RNA, 1530 nt
Filed under: Escherichia coli
Lineage: Bacteria; Pseudomonadati; Pseudomonadota; Gammaproteobacteria; Enterobacterales; Enterobacteriaceae
Also listed under: 1 other name
Description: bacterial SSU rRNA
Rfam family: Bacterial small subunit ribosomal RNA
Source: RNAcentral